This is a long non-coding RNA of Lathyrus oleraceus (garden pea), 638 nucleotides long. RefSeq lists it as uncharacterized. The record is from RefSeq and is a predicted model, not a curated record. Lineage: Eukaryota; Viridiplantae; Streptophyta; Magnoliopsida; Fabales; Fabaceae. The transcript is spliced from 2 exons.
AUGUUAACACACAAAGCACAUAGACUCAUAGACUCAUCCGUGGCGUUUGAACCUGAGCUUCUCACUUAUGUUUCCACGCUUCUCUCUCUUGCAUCUUCUCAAUUCAAAUGCUCUUAACGAAACAAGAAUCACGAGACACUCUGAAAUCGAAGCUCCAUCACCAUCACCACACUUUUAAUCAAACUCGAUUUCAACAUCACCUUUAACGAAUCAGAAGUGCGACAUCCAAAAUGUAUUCGAUUUGUAUGGAUGUGGUGAAUUGAGAAGAGAACAUGGAUCUUGAGGAUUGCGCUUACACAAAUGAUUGAAGAAGGAGACAUAAAAGUAACUUACCAAUGCGGUGGCUCUCCGGCGUUAAUAGGUUUUGCAAUUGGCAUGGACACUUGAGGAUUAAGAUGACUUAAGGACUCAAGGGAAAAUGGUUGACUUUGGUCAUCUAGUUGAUCAGAAAGUCAACAGUUGACCAAAAAACCAAUAGUUGACCAAAAAAUCAAUAGUUGACCAAAGUCAACUGUAGGUUAGAAACUAGGGUUUUGUAUUGUUUGAUGUAUAUGUAAGGACUAGUUUAAAUUACUUGUAAGGUAAAUAAGGUUUUUAAUGAAUAUGUCAAGGUUUAAAUGAAACAAUGAUUUAUGUGA